RNAcentral lists this long non-coding RNA (767 nucleotides) under Homo sapiens (human). RNAcentral describes it as "HSALNT0135900". Lineage: Eukaryota; Metazoa; Chordata; Mammalia; Primates; Hominidae. The record is from RNAcentral.
AUAGAACUUUUUCAGGAGCAAAGGGCAAGAAAAUGUUUUUAAAAAGGGGAAUAAUCCUAGCAAAAUAGUUUUAUAGAUUUUUUUUUGGAAAGCCAUGCCAUUUUCUCCCCUCCUUAUUACUAGUUGGUAAUGUGCAAAACAAUGCUAUCUCAAAAAUAAGAAAAUAGUGAAAGAGAACAUAUGCCCCUGUUGUGGGUUAAAUAGGGACUCCCAGAGGAUAUGUCCUUUCAGGACCUCAGAUGUAAUUAAAGUAGGGAUCUUGAGGUGAGAUCAUCCUGGAGGAGGGUGGGCCCUAAAUCCAAAGAUUAACGUGUUUAUGAAAGACUGAGACAAAGAGAAGAAGGCCCUGUAAAGCUGAGCACAGAUUGGAGUUUUGUAGCUGUGAGCCAAGGAAAGCCAGGAGAAGCAAGGAAGGAUGAGUCUCUAGAGCCUGCAGAGGGAGCACAGCCCUGCCAACACCUGGAUUUCUGAAGUCUGCCCUACAAACUGUGAUGAGAGAUCUUUUUAAAGGCAAAGACAGCAAUUUCCUGGGGAUCUAUGAGUACACUGUUCAACUACAGUACAGGUUCUGGCUCUCUCGCUCAAGCUGGAGUGCAAUGAUGCAAUCUCGGCUCACUGCAACUUCUACCUCCCAGGCUCAAACCAUCCUCCCACCUCAGUUUCCCAAGUAGCUGGAUUCUCUUGGCUCUUUUUGUUUCUAUUGCUGAUUAAUGUUCUAUUCCCUAACUCACUAACAUCGAUUUUGAAAGCCGGCAGCAAACUUAGGU